UUAAAUUGAAGAGUUUGAUCAUGGCUCAGAUUGAACGCUGGCGGCAGGCCUAACACAUGCAAGUCGAACGGUAACAGGAAGCAGCUUGCUGCUUCGCUGACGAGUGGCGGACGGGUGAGUAAUGUCUGGGAAACUGCCUGAUGGAGGGGGAUAACUACUGGAAACGGUGGCUAAUACCGCAUAACGUCGCAAGACCAAAGAGGGGGACCUUCGGGCCUCUUGCCAUCAGAUGUGCCCAGAUGGGAUUAGCUAGUUGGUGAGGUAACGGCUCACCAAGGCGACGAUCCCUAGCUGGUCUGAGAGGAUGACCAGCCACACUGGAACUGAGACACGGUCCAGACUCCUACGGGAGGCAGCAGUGGGGAAUAUUGCACAAUGGGCGCAAGCCUGAUGCAGCCAUGCCGCGUGUAUGAAGAAGGCCUUCGGGUUGUAAAGUACUUUCAGCGGGGAGGAAGGUGUUGUGGUUAAUAACCGCAGCAAUUGACGUUACCCGCAGAAGAAGCACCGGCUAACUCCGUGCCAGCAGCCGCGGUAAUACGGAGGGUGCAAGCGUUAAUCGGAAUUACUGGGCGUAAAGCGCACGCAGGCGGUCUGUCAAGUCGGAUGUGAAAUCCCCGGGCUCAACCUGGGAACUGCAUUCGAAACUGGCAGGCUUGAGUCUUGUAGAGGGGGGUAGAAUUCCAGGUGUAGCGGUGAAAUGCGUAGAGAUCUGGAGGAAUACCGGUGGCGAAGGCGGCCCCCUGGACAAAGACUGACGCUCAGGUGCGAAAGCGUGGGGAGCAAACAGGAUUAGAUACCCUGGUAGUCCACGCCGUAAACGAUGUCUACUUGGAGGUUGUGCCCUUGAGGCGUGGCUUCCGGAGCUAACGCGUUAAGUAGACCGCCUGGGGAGUACGGCCGCAAGGUUAAAACUCAAAUGAAUUGACGGGGGCCCGCACAAGCGGUGGAGCAUGUGGUUUAAUUCGAUGCAACGCGAAGAACCUUACCUGGUCUUGACAUCCACGGAAGUUUUCAGAGAUGAGAAUGUGCCUUCGGGAACCGUGAGACAGGUGCUGCAUGGCUGUCGUCAGCUCGUGUUGUGAAAUGUUGGGUUAAGUCCCGCAACGAGCGCAACCCUUAUCCUUUGUUGCCAGCGGUUAGGCCGGGAACUCAAAGGAGACUGCCAGUGAUAAACUGGAGGAAGGUGGGGAUGACGUCAAGUCAUCAUGGCCCUUACGACCAGGGCUACACACGUGCUACAAUGGCGCAUACAAAGAGAAGCGACCUCGCGAGAGCAAGCGGACCUCAUAAAGUGCGUCGUAGUCCGGAUUGGAGUCUGCAACUCGACUCCAUGAAGUCGGAAUCGCUAGUAAUCGUGGAUCAGAAUGCCACGGUGAAUACGUUCCCGGGCCUUGUACACACCGCCCGUCACACCAUGGGAGUGGGUUGCAAAAGAAGUAGGUAGCUUAACCUUCGGGAGGGCGCUUACCACUUUGUGAUUCAUGACUGGGGUGAAGUCGUAACAAGGUAACCGUAGGGGAACCUGCGGUUGGAUCACCUCCUUACCU
Molecule: ribosomal RNA, 1547 nt
Filed under: Salmonella enterica subsp. enterica serovar Bareilly str. CFSAN001087
Lineage: Bacteria; Pseudomonadati; Pseudomonadota; Gammaproteobacteria; Enterobacterales; Enterobacteriaceae
Description: bacterial SSU rRNA
Rfam family: Bacterial small subunit ribosomal RNA
Source: RNAcentral